Molecule: ribosomal RNA, 425 nt
Filed under: uncultured bacterium
Lineage: Bacteria
Description: partial 16S ribosomal RNA
Rfam family: Bacterial small subunit ribosomal RNA
Source: RNAcentral
GUUAGGAAUAUUGGACAAUGGGCGAAAGCCUGAUCCAGCCAUGCCGCGUGAACGAUGAAGGCCUUCGGGUUGUAAAGUUCUUUAGCCGAUGAUUAUAAUGACUGUAGUCGGAAAAUAAGCCCCGGCUAACUUCGUGCCAGCAGCCGCGGUAAUACGAAGGGGGCGAGCGUUAUUCGGAAUCACUGGGCGUAAAGCGUGCGUAGGCGGUUUUGUAAGUUAGGAGUGAAAGCCCAGGGCUCAACGUUGGAAUUGCUCUGAAAACUGCAAGGCUCGAAUGUCGGAGAGGAUAGCGGAAUUUCCAGUGUAGCAGUGAAAUGCGUAGAUAUUGGAAGGAACACCAGUGGCGUAAGCGGCUAUCUGGACGAGUAUUGACGCUGAGUCACGAAAGCGUGGGGAUCAAACAGGAUUAGAAACCCCGGUAGUCC